GUAUAGCGCUUUUUCACAUAUUAAAUAUUAGUCCAAGCGCUUUAUAAUGCUUAUAAUUGUUAAUUUAUAGAUGUAAAAUUGUGUUUUGAGUGUACACUGAACUGCAUUUCAUAAUGUGUGGCCGCCACCUUUCUGUAUUAACCUAUAGAUGUCCAAUUUGAUGUCAUUUCUAGAGUUUUAAUAUAGUUUUUUUUAGGAGCCACAAGAUUCAACAUCUAUCAUCGUUGACAGCACUGAAAGAUUUGAUGGACUUUAAUCAUUAUUUUUUUACAUUUGGUCUACAAUUCAGAGCUUUUCCUUGGUUUCGCACAAUGAAAGCACAAUGUGUCGACGUGUAAACUUUAAGCCAUGACUGAUUCGUAGACCAAUUUUGUCUCGAAUAUUUUUCUUGUGUGACACAUUUUGUGCAAUAAAUAUCUAAUGAAGUACUUUGUCAGUUCUGCUAUUGUUUUAAUGUUACGAACUAAACAUGUGUUUCAAGGUAUACCGUGGUAUGUCAACGUCAAGGUUUCAAAACGGCAAAAAUUCUUAAGCUACUAGACAUUUUAUACAUCCAAAAAAUGCAUGGAAAAAUCCCUCGCUGGCAGCUGCAAGGCUCAAUCGGUGGCUGGAGGAGGUGCAAUUCCUGACAUUUGGGGGACAUGUCCUGGUCAUAUCAGGUCAUUCAGGGGACAUGUCCUGGUCAUGUCAGGUAAUUUGGGGACAUUUCGGGGACAAUUGGUGGUUAGAUAACUUCCUGUUGAUUUGGGGAUAUGUCCUGGUUAUAUCAGGACAUUUGGGGUCAUGUCCUGGUCAUUUGGGGGACAUGUCCUGGUCGUAUCAGGUCAUUUGGGGACAUUUAAGGGACAUAUCCUGGUCAUAUAAGGUCUUUGGGGGACAUGUCCUGGUCAUUUCAGGUAAUUUGGGGAAAGGUCCUGGCCAUAUCAGGUCAUUUGGGGGACAUGUCCUGGUCAUUUGGGGGCAUGUCCUGGUCAUAUCAGGUAAUUUGGGGGACAUGUCCUGGUCACAUCAGGUCAUGUGGGGACAUUUAAGGGACAUAUCCUGGUCAUAUAAUGUCUUUGGGGGACAUGUCCUGGUCAUGUCAGGUAAUUUGGGGACAGGUCCUGGCCUUAUCAGGUCAUUUGGGGACAUUUGGGGGACACAUCCUGAUCAUUUGGGGACAUUUGGGGGACACGUCCUGGUCAUAUCAGGUAAUUUGGGACACUUGUGGGACAUGUCCUGGUCACAUCAGGUCAUGUGGGGACAUUUGGGGGACAUGUCCUCGUCAUGUCAGGUCAUUUAGGGGACAUGUCUUGGUUAUAUCAGGUCAUUUGGGGACAUUUAAGGGACAUGUCCUGGUCAUAUAAUGUCUUAGAGGGACAUGUCCUGGUCAUGUCAGGUAAUUUGGGGACAGGUCCUGGCCGUAUCAGGUCAUUUGGGGACAUUUGGGGGACACGUUCUGGUCAUAUCAGGUAAUUUGGGGACACUUGUGGGACAUGUCCUGGUCAUAUCAGGUCAUGUGGGGAAAUUUGGGGGACAUGUCCUGGUCAUGUCAGGUCAUUUAGGGGACAUGUCUUGGUUAUAUCAGGUCAUUUGGGGACAUUUAAGGGACAUAUCCUGGUCAUAUAAUGUCUUUGGGGGACAUGUCUUGGUCAUGUCAGGUAAUUUGGGGACAGGUCCUGGCCGUAUCAGGUCAUUUGGGGACAUGUCCUGGUCAUAUCAGGUAAUUUGGGGACACUUGGGGGACAUGUCCUGGUCAUAUCAGGUCAUGCGCGGACUUUGGGGGGACAUGUCCUGGUCAUAUCAGGUAAUCUGGGGACACCUGGGGGACAUGUCCUGGUUAUAUCAGGUUAUUUGGGGGACAUGUCCUAUUGAUAUCUGGCCAUUUCCAAAGAACGCUACUCUUAAUGGAAGAAAUGGUAACAAUCAAAACGGGUUGAACUUUUCAAGUUUUGCCUUCAUUCCUCCCCUCGAUAGAUGGCAGUAGUUCAACUACAACCUCCGCCCAAAUGCUUCAAAAAGGAAGAAUACAAACAAGCUGCAGCUCAAAAGAUGCUAAUUUAACCGGACGUCACACGCAUUUAUACACAUUUUAGUAACAAUUGUCCGUAUGUGUUUUCGUUUGUAUUUUAAAAAGACGAAAAUUAUCAUGAAAAUUUUUUGGGGGGGAGGUCAAAGUUUGCGAAUGGGCGGAGUUUCGUGCAUGUAUAUAUAACGAAGGACGCCAUUGCUGCUUCCGUUUCUUGCUUUCAAAGUGAAGAGAUGGAGCCAGAUCGAGUUGAGUUGAUCCACUCAGAUGGAACGUGUUCAAAAGUCUACGUCAGCAUCUGGAUGGUCUUCUAGUCUUCAAAGAUGGGCCUGAAAACUGCGGCUGUGAUCGGAUUUCGGCGUGCCUGCGAAACUCGUAGCUCGUGGCGACAAAAUGGGCGAUGCUGACUGCCUCGAUGUCCUUGAUGGUGCUUGACUUCAAAUCCAUCAGCAUCAGGUACUUUUUUUGUUGUUGUCGUUUUAAUGGUGCGAUGAUGAUGACACUUAGCUCACUUUGACUUGCUGUGAAACGACAAGAACACCUGAGCACCUCAAUCUAAUGUUUUUUUUUCACACGACUAAAACAGAAACUAAAGUCUGUCCUUGUCUCCGCAGGUGAAGGUGAGUCCGCGAGGUUGCGUCGACGCUAUUUUAGCGCUGGACUCGAAAAUGAUGAGACAAUAUUGGAAUCUCGUUCGUCUGAGCAACUGAUGAGAAACUAAAAUCUGACGCGGUUCAAGCUAGAGUGACGUCACGAACGCACCCUUAUCUCCAAGACUGACUUUUUUUCCCUUGUCGUCCCACAGAUGUGAUCGUCUCUGGACCCCCAAGCAGGUGGACGGCAGCCAUUUUGCAGAGGUUGGGGUGGGUCAGGCUAGAAUGACGUCAAACGCACCCUCAUCUCCAAGACUUGAGUUUCCCAUUGUCGUCCCAUAGAUGCGAUACUCUCGGCCCCCGAGCAGGUGGACGGCAGCCAUUUUGUGGAGGUUGGACUGCUCUUUUUGGUGUCAUGUGGAUAUUAAGUGAAUGUCUUUUCGAAUAAAAAAUUUGUAAUAUUCAUUUUGUCUUGGGAGUUAUUCUUGACAAUUUGCAGUUUGGCUUCAGAGCAAGUUUAUUUACAAAAAUUUUAGACAAUACAAAAUAAUAGCUUAGGUCGCUAACACUAGUGGCUAUAGAUGUCCAAUCCAUUUGCAGUGGGAGGGAUGUUAAUUCAAUGCCAUCCCUCCCACUGCGAAUUGAUUGGCCGUCUACCAGCAUUAAAUUAACACAACUGAACAUAUCUUGGUCAAUCAGCGUUGAAGAUCCUUGCCGCUAUAUCAUCCAACAACCAGUCCACUCCUGCGAGAAGAUUCUGUCCCGUCACUGCGCUGCAUGCAAUCAAACACCAGUGAUGGUUCUUGAUGUCAUCCAGGGCCAACGCCU
Molecule: RNA transcript, 3429 nt
Organism: Corythoichthys intestinalis (scribbled pipefish)
Lineage: Eukaryota; Metazoa; Chordata; Actinopteri; Syngnathiformes; Syngnathidae
Gene: b3gat3
Gene name: beta-1,3-glucuronyltransferase 3 (glucuronosyltransferase I)
Exons: 11
Source: RefSeq, a predicted model, not a curated record